AGCUGCGUCGGGCGAUCGGGAAACUCAUCAAUUAUUACAAAUUCCGAGAUAAGCAGUAUAUCGUAAUGGCGGGCCGCACCUUCGGGCAUUGCUUGCAAUGAUAACAGCGGAUUACAAAGCGUUUACUGCCCUCAAAUCCUAUCUUUCGGAGUUUUUACGUUAUCCUCCGGCGUGGCUUUUUUA
RNAcentral lists this small RNA (183 nucleotides) under Porphyromonas sp. COT-108 OH1349. RNAcentral's name for it is "Bacteroidales-1 6S-Bacteroidales RNA suggested". It matches the Rfam family "Bacteroidales-1 6S-Bacteroidales RNA suggested". The record is from Rfam by way of RNAcentral. Lineage: Bacteria; Pseudomonadati; Bacteroidota; Bacteroidia; Bacteroidales; Porphyromonadaceae.